GGCGUUGAUAAAUUGACAGAUAAUGGAGCUCAAGAUCAUGACGGUCGCCGUUUGUUUAUUAUUUUAAGUUUUGGAACUGACGUAAUAUCCUAUUUUUAUUUGUUAAAUUUCUCAAUUAUUCAACAGCAUUUUUUCUCUAAUGGAAUCAAUAUGUAAAGUGCAAUAAAUUGGGUAGACCAAAGACUAUAUUUUACUGAGUACUGAAAUAACUACUCAAUGUCUCAAAAGCGAAGAAAGAAGACUGUCAAAGAUGGCUCAGAUGAAUUUCAGUGCUUUGAUGAUUUAUCAAAACACGCCAAAUUUCUAAUAAAAGAACUCACUCAUUCUGGAGAAACUACCUUGAAUGCAAGCCAAUUUAAAGAGUUGAAGAGUAUAUGCAAAAAAUCAAACGAUCAUUUGAAUUUUGCUUACAAAUGUAUUUCGAGGGAGUUAACUCAAAAUCAUUCAGAAAUUCGAUACAGCGCAUUCCAAUUAAUCGAUGAAUUCUGUAGGAGGUCUCUGGUUUUCCGAGAACUGGUAGUUCACAAUUUACAAAAUAUUUUGGAGCUGACAACCGAAAUUGAAUCCAAGAAACCCCUUCCACUACCUCGAAAAGCUGCUGAACGAUUGCAAAAAUUAGCUUUAAAAACUGUGCAUGAUUGGUAUGAAGAAUUUGGUUCAAAGUACAAGACAUUCGAAUGUGCCAUCAAAUUUUUGCAACGUAAAAGACAGGUGGAUUUCAAAUCACUUCAAGUUUUGUCAGCUGAAGAAAGAGAAAGGAGAGCUGAAAAUGAAAGAAGAACACAGUCAGUUAAUGAACAGCGCUUUGACAGAGUCAAUAAUGAAUUUAAUGACCUGCUCCCGGAAAUCAUCAGCACCGUUAAAGCAUUUGAAAACGGCUUGGCACUCCUGUUGCCAAGGCCGGAAGACUUCUACAUCUCGGAAGAGCAGGCUGAAAAUGAAUCUGACAUGACAGGAUCCUUUUUCGAUACAAAGAAGAGUGACAAUACAACCGGGUUGAACAGCUGUAGCAGCUCUGAUGAUGAUGAGCCUGAGGAGGACUUCAAUCCAACCAUGAGAGAAAUUGGGGCCCUAACCAAUAAGCACACCAUAGAAGUCGAUAUUGUGCCAAAUUCGAUUAAGGAAACUCCAGAAAACUCUGUAAUUCUUGAAAACGUUAAAGACGCCAAUAAGUUGAUAAUGAAUAACUAUCUACCCAAAAUUAAAGCUUGGAUGCAGAUUGUCUCCAAAGUUGAAGGAAGUCCAGCUUUUCUAAAGAAGUUAGUUGAUUAUAAAAAUAAUUUGGAAAAAGCUAUUGAACGAUACAGACGGCUGAAUAUUGUGCGAGAAUCAGAUGAUGACUGUGUCUCUACGGAUUCGGAACUGGAAGAGGUGGUUGAAGAUGAUGAACUGAGAAUAAAGAAGGAAAAGAAAUGUAAGAAAACUGAUAGCCCCAUGAAGAAAAGUGAAAUUGUUAGUAAUUGGAGUAUAGUUUCGAAGGAAGAGAAAUCUGAGGAUCCUACAACUGUACAAGCAUUACUUGCUUCACAACAGAAGAAGGAUGAACUUAGUUCCAGACAAGGUGGAAAACAGUCAAAAACUGAAACAAAUACUGAAGAUAAGAGUUCAUCAUCUGUAUGUGACGACGCUGUUCCGUCCACUUCAAAGGAAACCAAUCAAGAGAUCAAUGAAAGAAAACGUAAACUCCUUGAGAAAGCUCCGAAAUUGCCGUUUGAUAUUGAUUUGUAUCAUUGGGAAGAUACAGAACUCAAAGCACCAACCAUCCUUCCGGUGGCGUUAGAUGGACACAGGUUCUGGUCAUCUGUGUCUGAUGAUAAUCUGGAAUUGACAGUGCCUGAAGGAUCAUCGAUGCUGAGGACCAGAGUGAUAGAAUAUGUAGGCGAAUUCGAGCCCAUUUUAAGAAGUUGUCGUUAUCCAUUGCCUUCUGGCAAACUUUGUCCUCGUCAGGAUCGAUAUAAGUGCCCAUUCCAUGGACCCAUUGUCCCGCGUGAUGAGCUUGGGAAAUGUGUGAAUGCUGAGGAUGAGCUGAGGCAGAGAAUCAAGGAAGAGAAGCAGAACGCAGAAAAACCUCCAGAUUGGCAAGAACCAGCCCUUUUAGAAGCAAUCAAAGCGGAAACUGGAAUUGAUCUUAAAAUGCCCGAUAAAAAAGGGAAACAAAAGAAGAAGAAAUAUCCUAAUCUCACUGACAUAAAAAAAUCAUUGGACACAACAACAAAUAGACUGAAUAAAAAGAUCUUUGAUAAAGCAAGCAUGAAAAGAGUUGCCAACAGACUAGACAGCAUUGACAGACGUCGCUACAGGGACAAAUUUGGCGACCAAUUCAACUAUAUGUACGAGUGAAAAUAUCCAAACUAUUUCUCUCUCGUUCUUCACAAAAUUGAUAUUGAUUAUCAAGUUAUUGAAGAUACUUCAAUUUUUUGAAAUACCUUGAAAAGUGACCAUUUCUGCACUGAUUGCAGGCCGCAAAGAAUCACUUUGCGCACGCAAAGAAUCACUUUUCCGCACUACUGCGCAAAGUGAGUACUUUGCGUACUCCAGAUUUGCAGCAUGACAACACAAAAUAGUUAUUACGUUAUAUGGAGCACCAGUGCAGGAAAAUGAAAAUUAAGUUGGUAAUACUCAUAGUGAGGCCCACGUUAUAAUGGCAGUGGAGAACAGCGUUGCCUUGCCAUUAUGUGCCUUGAUUAUAGUCAUUUCAAUGCUUACAUAAGAUAAACCCCCUUCAAGCAGUCAUAUAAAUUUUCAAUUGAAUUACUAAUCAUUAUAAUUCAACUAUUAUUAUUCAAUUUUAAAUAAAUUAAGGGUUUUAUUAAUAAUAAAAUUACACAGAAGAACAUUUGAUGGAUUUCAGGGAAUUUUACCUAAAUUACCCACUUUCCAUAUUCAACUGUAGGAAAAAUUUAAUGUGAAAUACGUGCGCAAAGUUCCUCUGCUGCACUCAAGAAACCAUUCCGCCCUUGCCUACGGCUCGGGCGUAAACGUUUCUUUCGGUGCAGCAAACUGUCACUUUGCGCACUAGUUGCACAAAUAACUAUUUUCACGCGCAGUUGUAGAAAAAUGUAUUAUUCAAUGUAUGAAUGUAAAUAAAUAUAUGAUCUCUUUCCAGUAAA
Nilaparvata lugens (brown planthopper) is the source of this 3110-nucleotide RNA transcript. It is a transcript of the gene named UV-stimulated scaffold protein A, with no coding region annotated. Lineage: Eukaryota; Metazoa; Arthropoda; Insecta; Hemiptera; Delphacidae. The transcript has 14 exons. The record is from RefSeq and is a predicted model, not a curated record.